This 1003-nucleotide long non-coding RNA is filed under the name Homo sapiens (human). RNAcentral describes it as "non-protein coding LINC01068:2". The record is from RNAcentral. Lineage: Eukaryota; Metazoa; Chordata; Mammalia; Primates; Hominidae.
UGCUUGUUCAGGUUCCAGAUUCUGAAUUCGACCUUCUCUUAACUCCGCAGAAUGCAGUUGAGAUGCAUAGAAAAAGUCUGGGACUACUUACACCUAUUUGCUAGCAUGUCUUUGAAGAAUGUUACUAGAGAGAAGCAGGUACAACCUUGUGAUUAUUAUGCUUUGAACUUGAUGCUGUGCUGAACACAUAAAAAGAGCCCUCAUGAUGAGAGAUUGGAAGGAGAAUGAAAGAAAGGAAGCAAGAUCAUCCAGAGAACCAUGAAGUAGUGACCUUCAGUGACCUUCAGUGAUGAGGUCUGGCAUUCAUCAGCAUUCACACAUCUGCAGAAGGGGUAUGAGGGAGAAAUGACUUCAUUAAUUAUUGUGUCACCAAGUUUUUCUUCUCUUGAUUCCUAAGAAGAAGAAACAGAGAUUACAUGUGUUUACUUAAGGGUAAGCACUAACUGAAUGCUUACUGAGUGGCUAGAUGAAUAUCUAAAAAAAAAAAUGGUUUCUGUAGGCGUUGGAUUCUGCUCAAUGCUUAUGCCCACCCAGAAUGCUCUAUAAAACCUUCACUGUUGUUCUCAGGAUCAGCCUUCCUGAAUUCAUCCUAUAAACUUUUAAUGAGUGACCUGUUUGUAAAACUCCCUUCCAGAUUGGCAAAUACAAGUUGAUAGAGAACUUCAAUGCCUUUUUUCUUCUAACCUCCCUUUCCUUAUACUUUCCCCUAUUGAAUCUUACCAGAGGGAACACACACACACACACACACACAGAGUAAACUCAUCAGCCAAAAAAACUUUUAAAAAGUAAAAAUAAAAAAUAAAAAAAUACAGGACUCAAAACAGCAGUCCACAGCAUUUUUGUGCUGUGAUUUCUGAGGGAAAUGAAUUAGGCACAUUGUUUAGUUUGUUUGUUUGUUUUUGUUUUUUAACAGUAUCUGCUUUUGCCUAUGUGGAAGUCUUUGAUGUAAAACAAAAGCUCUUGAUGAAGUGCUAGAACGUACCUAAUUGUUGAGGUGUAGAGA